CUGACCUCAAAUCAGGUAGGACUACCCGCUGAACUUAAGCAUAUCAAUAAGCGGAGGAAAAGAAACUAACAAGGAUUCCCCCUAGUAACUGCGAGUGAAGCGGGAAAAGCUCAAAUUUAAAAUCUGGCGGUCUUUGGCCGUCCGAGUUKAUCUGGAGAAG
Molecule: ribosomal RNA, 160 nt
Filed under: Rigidoporus sp. E7081
Lineage: Eukaryota; Fungi; Basidiomycota; Agaricomycetes; Polyporales; Meripilaceae
Description: partial 26S ribosomal RNA
Rfam family: Eukaryotic large subunit ribosomal RNA
Source: RNAcentral